AUUGAACGCUGGCGGCAGGCCUAACACAUGCAAGUCGAACGGUAACAGGGAUCAGCUUGCUGAUUCGCUGACGAGUGGCGGACGGGUGAGUAAUGUCUGGGAAACUGCCUGAUGGAGGGGGAUAACUACUGGAAACGGUAGCUAAUACCGCAUAACGUCGCAAGACCAAAGAGGGGGACCUUCGGGCCUCUUGCCAUCGGAGGUGCCCAGAUGGGAUUAGCUAGUAGGUGGGGUAACGGCUCACCUAGGCGACGAUCCCUAGCUGGUCUGAGAGGAUGACCAGCCACACUGGAACUGAGACACGGUCCAGACUCCUACGGGAGGCAGCAGUGGGGAAUAUUGCACAAUGGGCGCAAGCCUGAUGCAGCCAUGCCGCGUGUAUGAAGAAGGCCUUCGGGUUGUAAAGUACUUUCAGCGGGGAGGAAGGGAGUAAAGUUAAUACCUUUGCUCAUUGACGUUACCCGCAGAAGAAGCACCGGCUAACUCCGUG
RNAcentral lists this ribosomal RNA (490 nucleotides) under uncultured bacterium. RNAcentral's name for it is "partial 16S ribosomal RNA". It matches the Rfam family "Bacterial small subunit ribosomal RNA", at positions 30 to 507 of the family's 1533-position model. The record is from RNAcentral.